GUCUUAACCGGGCGUUAAGUUGCAGGGUAUAGACCCGAAACCCGGUGAUCUAGCCAUGGGCAGGUUGAAGGUUGGGUAACACUAACUGGAGGACCGAACCGACUAAUGUUGAAAAAUUAGCGGAUGACCUGUGGCUGGGGGUGAAAGGCCAAUCAAACCGGGAGAUAGCUGGUUCUCCCCGAAAGCUAUUUAGGUAGCGCCUCGUGAAUUCAUCUCCGGGGGUAGAGCACUGUUUCGGCUAGGGGGCCAUCCCGGCUUACCAACCCGAUGCAAACUGCGAAUACCGGAGAAUGUUAUCACGGGAGACACACGGCGGGUGCUAAUGUCCGUCGUGAAGAGGGAAACAACCCAGAC
This 354-nucleotide ribosomal RNA is filed under the name Salmonella enterica. RNAcentral describes it as "partial 23S ribosomal RNA". It matches the Rfam family "Bacterial large subunit ribosomal RNA", at positions 681 to 1032 of the family's 2925-position model. Lineage: Bacteria; Pseudomonadati; Pseudomonadota; Gammaproteobacteria; Enterobacterales; Enterobacteriaceae. The record is from RNAcentral.